Tigriopus californicus is the source of this 1120-nucleotide long non-coding RNA. RefSeq lists it as uncharacterized. The record is from RefSeq and is a predicted model, not a curated record. The transcript has 3 exons. Lineage: Eukaryota; Metazoa; Arthropoda; Copepoda; Harpacticoida; Harpacticidae.
AAGCAGGCCGGUUCCUCACCGCGAUCGUUCACAGAGUUGCUGCUCUCUCUCAUUGACUAAAUUGCAAUACACCACGUUGGACAGCCAUGUUAUCUCUCAAAGGACUCAUUACGCUUUAUUUGUUGGUGUUGUUGUGUUUAACCCAUGUGGAAGAAAGUGCGGCUAGAAGAGGGGGAGGAGGAUGAGGGGGUCGAUCCGGUGGUGGGCGUGGAAGAUCUUCAGGCAGUGGGCGGUGGUCAAAAGGAGGAUCCUCUUAUAAGAAUUCGAAUAUAAACCCAGGUUAUGGCGUGUCUGCCUCCUCGUAUAAAUCCAAACCCAAGACGAGCCUAAGAUCUUACAAUCCGUAUUCGUAUUCCGGAGGUCGAAGCUCAUCUUACAAUGGAUUUGGACUUGGUUUAGGGGCUGGCAUGAUCGUUGGAUAUCAACUGGGAGGCCUUCAUCGGCCGAUUGGAUACUCUGAAUCCUCGUAUAACUACAACUAUAUCCAUAAAGAUCGGGGUUACUAUCAAGAAACGCCCCUCUCAUGUGUCAAGGCCGAGGCUUAUGAAUACCUGAAGCUUCAGUCGGAUCUGCAGGAAGUUGAUAUCGAAGAAGGUGAUGAGAUAUGUGAGUCACCCACGGAUGUUUGCUUUGGGAGGAUUCACAUCACAAAGGCCGAGAUCACCACGGCCAAUUCCACAGAGGUUAUCAUCGAUAUGAGGUCAAGAUUGAGAAAGGCUGCAUCGGAAACGACACCCUGGAGAAACAGGAUGAGAGCACUUAUGACACGGAUCGGAAGUGCUUCACCAGUUCCUUGAAUGAGUCAUCAAAUACGAAUGGCAAUCGAAAUGGCAUCCCAAGUAGACUGAUUGAGGCACUUGGCAUUGAAAACGACCUUUUUAUGAACGUUACGCUCCAAUCCCAGAUGGAAACCUGCACUUGCAAAGGCUGGUAUUGUAAUGGGUCCUCCUUACUGGUUGUUCCAUCCAUGUUUGUACUCAUUGCUAUGGCAAUCACCCUUGGAUAGAAGAUUAUGGUUUUUUUGAUAAUGUCUAUGAAAUGCAAAGCUAACACCAAACUUGAACUUUAAGCACUAUGUUAGUGUCUCUGAAUAAAUUGCAUUGGUGCAAUUCACAAUGGA